UUUGACCUUAAGUGGUUUCAGUGUAACCGCGCGUCUUCUCAAAAGGAACUUGUCGUUACCACUUUCCUCCAUCUUUAAUCAAAAUACUAUUCCCAGCGAAACGGGCGUCUCAAGAUCCAUCGGAGGUUUUUUUACUUCCUCCAUCCAACUCACGUACACCGAUGGAAAACGCAUUUCAGAGCUCAUGUGUGAAGCACUACAACUGCAAUUCCGAUAAAAUCAACGACGCCGCAGGUAAACUGUCUCGAGUCUAGUGCCUUUUGAGUCUAUCAGGUGGACCCCUAAUUGUUAAUCGUCUGGAGUUAUUGAACGAUUGGGAGUGUUGCAGUUGCCUCCCCCGCCAGCGAUCAAUCCGAGAAUAGAGGAAGGAGGCCGAAUUCCGUAAAUCCGUAGACUAGACAUGAGACAGAAAAUCGCGCUGGACGAUGUUAUAGGUGGCAUUAGGAUCGCACAGUUGCACUCGAUGACGCCUCUUUGCGAUGACGAGUGGGGGAUAGUAGCUGCAAGUAGCUGAUGGUGGGGCCCGUUGUGUUGCAUGGUGUUGACAUAAUGCAGAAAGUAAUUUUUUUCAAUUGUCUAAUUAAUUAAUGAG
Molecule: long non-coding RNA, 592 nt
Organism: Diachasma alloeum
Lineage: Eukaryota; Metazoa; Arthropoda; Insecta; Hymenoptera; Braconidae
Exons: 3
Source: RefSeq, a predicted model, not a curated record